This 391-nucleotide long non-coding RNA is filed under the name Mustela putorius furo (domestic ferret). RNAcentral's name for it is "lncRNA (ENSMPUG00000029916.1)". Lineage: Eukaryota; Metazoa; Chordata; Mammalia; Carnivora; Mustelidae. The record is from RNAcentral.
CUCUAGGCAGCUUUUUGCAAAAUUUCUCCAAGUAGGUCAAUUUUCUUCUUUGUUCCCAUCAUCCUUAGCAGGCUUCUUUCUUCAUAGCAUGUUCCAGCUGUAAUCUCCAGGGCUUUCCCACAACCCACUGCAACAAAAGCCUACUCUCAUCAAUUGAGUUCAAUGAAGUUUCCAGACUCCUGGAGGAUUUAUAGACAUUUAAUCUUACCAAGACAAUGAGAAAACUGAGUCUAGGGAAGUGAGUUGAGUUGUUCAGGAGAUAAGGUUGGUUAGUGGAAGAGUCAGAUUCCAAUCCUUAUCUUCUGACUUGGAGGGUGUGAAUGGAGUUUGUCAGAAAAUUGAGAAGGGGAAGCCGAGUGGUAGCUGCAAAUUAACUCCUGGAAAGUCAUGC